RNAcentral lists this ribosomal RNA (411 nucleotides) under uncultured Actinomycetes bacterium. RNAcentral describes it as "bacterial SSU rRNA". It matches the Rfam family "Bacterial small subunit ribosomal RNA", at positions 355 to 776 of the family's 1533-position model. Lineage: Bacteria; Bacillati; Actinomycetota; Actinomycetes. The record is from RNAcentral.
UGGGGAAUAUUGCGCAAUGGGCGAAAGCCUGACGCAGCGACGCCGCGUGAGGGACGAAGGCCUUCGGGUUGUAAACCUCUUUCAGCAGGGACGAAGCCGCAAGGUGACUGUACCUGCAGAAGAAGCACCGGCUAACUACGUGCCAGCAGCCGCGGUAAUACGUAGGGUGCAAGCGUUGUCCGGAAUUAUUGGGCGUAAAGAGCUCGUAGGCGGUCUGUCGCGUCGGAUGUGAAAACCCAGGGCUCAACCCUGGGCCUGCAUUCGAUACGGGCAGACUAGAGUUCGGUAGGGGAGACUGGAAUUCCUGGUGUAGCGGUGAAAUGCGCAGAUAUCAGGAGGAACACCGGUGGCGAAGGCGGGUCUCUGGGCCGAUACUGACGCUGAGGAGCGAAAGCGUGGGGAGCAAACAGG